Molecule: ribosomal RNA, 253 nt
Filed under: uncultured bacterium
Lineage: Bacteria
Description: partial 16S ribosomal RNA
Rfam family: Bacterial small subunit ribosomal RNA
Source: RNAcentral
UACGGAGGGUGCGAGCGUUAAUCGGAAUUACUGGGCGUAAAGCGCACGCAGGCGGUUUGUUAAGCUAGAUGUGAAAGCCCCGGGCUCAACCUGGGAUGGUCAUUUAGAACUGGCAGACUAGAGUCUUGGAGAGGGGAGUGGAAUUCCAGGUGNAGCGGUGAAAUGCGUAGAUAUCUGGAGGAACAUCAGUGGCGAAGGCGACUCCCUGGCCAAAGACUGACGCUCAUGUGCGAAAGUGUGGGUAGCGAACAGG